RNAcentral lists this ribosomal RNA (253 nucleotides) under uncultured bacterium. RNAcentral's name for it is "partial 16S ribosomal RNA". It matches the Rfam family "Bacterial small subunit ribosomal RNA", at positions 524 to 776 of the family's 1533-position model. The record is from RNAcentral.
UACGUAGGGUGCGAGCGUUAAUCGGAAUUACUGGGCGUAAAGCGUGCGCAGGCGGUUUUGUAAGUCAGCUGUGAAAGCCCCGGGCUUAACCUGGGAAUGGCGGUUGAAACUACAGGACUAGAAUCUGGCAGAGGGGGGUGGAAUUCCACGUGUAGCAGUGAAAUGCGUAGAGAUGUGGAGGAACACCGAUGGCGAAGGCAGCCCCCUGGGCUGAGAUUGACGCUCAGGCACGAAAGCGUGGGGAGCAAACAGG